UGGUGCAAGAGAGCUGGUUGCUAUGGUAACCGUUGGAUGUAAAUUUCCCAGAACCCCCAACUAAACUAUUAAUCAGAAAGAUGAGGAAAGGGCCAGGGCAGUAAAUAAAUCAGGUAAGAAACUCGUUCCUACCAGGAAGGACAGGGAAUAGCCACCCUACCCCCCUCACCCCCACCCGCUACGCACACACCCCCCCUUUGAUGUUUCCGUGUGGAAGGAGGGGGCUGCUGGAGCCCGAGGAGAGCAAUGCUCUUUUUUGACUGCUUUGUUCCUCAUCCUUGUGGAGUUGGAGUGGUUGGGAAGUAGAAGCUGCAUCUGGCAUCCUUAUCACCUGAGGGGGUGAGGAGGCUUCCUGUUAGCAGGAACAUCAAAGGUAAAAAAAUAUGGGAGUCUGAAAAAAAAAGCUAUUGUGGCCAGCGCGAAAGAAGGGUUCUACCAAAGCAUGGUGAUAAGAGCAGGAUUCCUUCAGCCUUGAUAGAAGGGUUAGACUGACAGGGGCUACAUUUUCCCACCUUUGCUGGUUGGUUUGUGUGGGUUUGUCCCAAGGACUUCAUCUCCCUGGCUGGCUUUGAGGUUUAUACUAAAUGAGGAGGGGUGUGGAAAAGCUGGCCAGACCUCCUCCAAGUGAACUGGACCCACCAGGUUCCCCCUGCAGCUAGUGGGAGGAGGUAGCUCGCUCUAAUCGCAGGAAACACGGCUGGGAGGAAGCACUCCUUGGCACGCAGAGCACCAGGGGUGUGUGCGGGAACUCCUGGACUCCACCGCACCAGUGUCCCUGCUGACCAAGCCCCUGGUGGCAGGAGUCUCCUGGCUUAGGCUGGUGGAACUAAGUUGUCCAUGGACCUUUAUUUUAUUUAUUUACAUGUGGUGCUGAGAAUUGAACCCGGAGCCCCACACCUGCUAGAGCAACCCCCCAUGGUCCAAGAAGCUUUGAAGACCUGGUGAUGACCCAGUCAUUCCCCUGAUUCUCUCAGCAUCCUUCCUGGAUCUGAAUAAACCUGCAAAAGCAGGUGUGGGUUGUACAAUCUUGGCUCCCUGAACUGUGAUCUGUGAUAUGCUGUCUACUCAGCAGGAGGAUGUCUAUAAGGAGGUGCACAAAAGAACAUUUCAGCAUCUUGCAUUAAAAAUCAACAAUUAUGACAUUGUCAUUUUGCUUUGUGAGAUCCUUUUGUUGAGUACAGAAUUAUUACUCCAUCUAUCUAUCUACUCUAUCUAGCUUUCUUUUUUUCUUCUGGGUGGGAUUGAACCCAGGGGUGCUCUACCACUGAUUUAUACCCUCAGCCCUUUUAUUUUGUUUUGAGACAGAGUCUCAUUAAGUUGCCCAAGCUGGCCUCAAUUUAUGAUCUUCCAUCUUCAGCCUCCUGAGUAGCAGGGAUCACGGCUACAUACUACCAUGCCUGGCUUGUGUAUCUGUUUCUUUCAGCCAAUAGGAGCUCUGAGUUACUGGGGCUCUUCUUUGCCUUGGCCACCAUGAACUCAAAUCUAAAUGCAGGUCCGUGGUCUCAGAUGCAAAAGUUUCCCUGCAGACUCAGUGUAGUAUUUUACUUCCUUUUUAAUAAAUGUUGCUGUUAUUGUUGUUGCUAUACGAAGAAUAGAACCCAGAGUCUUGCCUAUGCUAGGCAAGCACUCUACCACCAAGCUACUCCUCAGUCCUUAAAUAAAUAUCUUAAAUGAUUA
Ictidomys tridecemlineatus (thirteen-lined ground squirrel) is the source of this 1677-nucleotide non-coding RNA. Lineage: Eukaryota; Metazoa; Chordata; Mammalia; Rodentia; Sciuridae. The record is from RefSeq and is a predicted model, not a curated record.